UUACAAGUACCUCACUCAUCUAGAUAGCUAACAACAUCCAAGUACAAUGCUUUGUCACAAUAUAGACGGUCAGGCAGUGCAUUUUGUAGCAAAAGCCCUCCCUUGUUCAUAUGAGGGAUUUUGUACCAAUUUCCACCCCUUAAUCUCAUAACUUGUAUCAUGCAUGAUUGAAGAGUAAGAAAAAUUCGGUUUAUCUUUUCAACUUCAUACUUGUUGAACUCAGCAAUGACACCUUCAAUAAGCUGAUCAAUUGUGGUAGGAUUCAGCUGAUCCGUGAAAGAUUGCAAAGAUCUAAGAAAUCCCAGAUCAAGAAUAUUCAUGUCAGGUGAGUUUGGAGGCUGUUGUAGAAUCCGAAUAUCACGUCCAGUAAUGGAAAUGGCAUUUAGCAAUGCCUCAUCAUCUGGCUUAACAUGGGAUGGUGCAUUGUCCCGCUGAAUGUAAAUAGUUUUCCCUUCGUCUGGCCAUCGUUCAUGAAUAGCGGGUAUUACUUUGUUGACCAUGAAUUCUCUCAUUCGAUCUCUGUUUACCUUCAUGUUCUUUUUGACCAUGGUACCUCUCGGUCUAUUGCCACUUCUCCUUUUUGCUGGUUCCUGUUUUAACAACAAAUAAACACAAACAAGAAAAGUAAAGAACAUAUUUUUGCUCAACAAAUUUAAAAGGUCAAGUAUAGGAUAGUUACCUCAGUUACCAUUGCCCAACAACAAAUUUUCCCAUCAAAUAUCAGAUUCCCUUCAUCAUCAUAUCUAGGCCGAGCAAUAGCUACUAAGAACAUAACUUUGCCUAUGUAGUUUUUGUUUUGAAUAGUUCGGACUGGUUCUUCUUCUUCUGGCAUCAAGUAGUAAGUUCUCUUGUUUUUAGUCAUGUUAAACCAUUUUUCAUCUAGAUGUACAAUAUCCUCCAUAUCAACAAACCGCGGUUCGUUGUGUAUAGUGUUUUGAUCAACCAUCCUUACACAAAACCGCAAUCUUUGUUUCUUGUUACUAUCUUUCAAAACUGGUUUCAAACUACUUGAAAUUCGCCGCAAGUACCCUUGCUUAAACCUCAUAAACAGAGUGGUCUUGCUCAUAUGAAUUGCAUGACAUAGUGCACUCAAUGUCUGCCUUUUUCUUUUUGGAGUGGACUGUACUUGCGCAAGCGGAGCUACAAUUCUCUUGCGCCCACAAUUCUUGCUUUUCUUGUGAGUAACAUCCACCUCUCUUCCUUCUUUUAUGCAAUCAUUUACUAAUCUCCAAACUGAUUGAACUUGCCUUCUACUGUGUCCAAGUUUGCUUGCUACAUCAGCGGUGCUAGUUUUCUUUAGUCUACCAGAGUUACUGUCUUUCAGUAACUCUUGAUAAACUUCCCACCUUUGCUUGUUUGUCAGCAUCUUCCUAUUUUUCCUCUUCGGACGACGACCACCAACAGGAGCAAGAGGUACUUGUGGUGUUGUGUUUCUCUGUUGAGCUUCUGCAAGGUCAAUAUCGCUUCUCUUGCUGAGAAAAACCGCAAGCUGACAUAGGGUUGUUGCAGAACGCAUUCGACUAUCUCCAUCGGUAAAACAACCAGUUCCUGAUGCUGCAAGAAUAACUUGAAGGUCACGCGCCUGAUUGACCAGUGGGCGUCUGGUUCUUCAGCUGCAAUAAUAAAGGCUCUUCCCAACCUCCUUCAUCAUCUGGUGGUGGUGACGAGUUCAAGUCCAGAACCAUGGUGCUGCUAUGUGUAGAUGGGACUGUGUGGCUGUUGGUGAUGAGUUCCAGUCCGGGAGUACUUAUAGAAGAUGACUGCUCAGCUCCUUGUGUAAUUUGAAUAGGUUUUGCCGCUAUAGUUCAAUUUUUUUGGUGAUCAUAGUGUGUUGUAAAAAAGGAGGUAAAUUUACUAGUAAUACUGUUUUCUGUUGUAAAAUGGAG
Molecule: non-coding RNA, 1886 nt
Organism: Lolium perenne
Lineage: Eukaryota; Viridiplantae; Streptophyta; Magnoliopsida; Poales; Poaceae
Source: RefSeq, a predicted model, not a curated record